This 432-nucleotide unclassified non-coding RNA is filed under the name soil metagenome. RNAcentral describes it as "partial contains 5.8S ribosomal RNA, internal transcribed spacer 2, and large subunit ribosomal RNA". The stretch from base 1 to 120 matches the Rfam family "5.8S ribosomal RNA", at positions 35 to 154 of the family's 154-position model. The record is from RNAcentral.
GAUGAAGAACGUAGCGAAAUGCGAUACGUAAUGUGAAUUACAGAAUUCAGUGAAUCAUCGAAUCUUUGAACGCAUAUUGCGCUCUCUGGUAUUCCGGAGAGCAUGCUUGUUUGAGUAUCAGUAAACACCUCAACUUCCAUAUCUUUUUUGAAAUGGGAGUUGGACUUGAGUGAUCCCAACGCUUUUCCUCACCGAAAAGUGGCGGGUUACUUGAAAUGCAGGUGCAGCUGGACUUUUCUCUGAGCUAUAAGCAUAUCUAUUUAGUCUGCCUAAAAAACAGAUUAUUACCUUUGCUGCAGCUAACAUAAAGGAGAUUAGUUCUUGUGCUGACUGAUGCAGGAUUCACAAAGACGGCUUCGGCCGACUUUGUAAACUCGAUCUCAAAUCAAGUAAGACUACCCGCUGAACUUAAGCAUAUCAAUAAGCGGAGGA